Molecule: ribosomal RNA, 491 nt
Filed under: Selenomonas sp. oral taxon F96
Lineage: Bacteria; Bacillati; Bacillota; Negativicutes; Selenomonadales; Selenomonadaceae
Description: bacterial SSU rRNA
Rfam family: Bacterial small subunit ribosomal RNA
Source: RNAcentral
GACGAACGCUGGCGGCGUGCUUAACACAUGCAAGUCGAACGGGAUGAUUUAGAAGCUUGCUUUUAGAGAAUCUAGUGGCAAACGGGUGAGUAACACGUAGACAACCUGCCGACAGGAUGGGGACAACAUUCCGAAAGGAAUGCUAAUACCGAAUGAAGCGGAGGAGAGGCAUCUCUCCUCCGUGAAAGAUGGCCUCUGAAUAUGCUAUCACCUGUCGAUGGGUCUGCGUCUGAUUAGCUAGUUGGUGAGGUAACGGCUCACCAAGGCGACGAUCAGUAGCCGGUCUGAGAGGAUGAACGGCCACAUUGGGACUGAGACACGGCCCAGACUCCUACGGGAGGCAGCAGUGGGGAAUCUUCCGCAAUGGGCGCAAGCCUGACGGAGCAACGCCGCGUGAGUGAAGAAGGUCUUCGGAUCGUAAAGCUCUGUUGACGGGGACGAACGUACGGAGUGCGAAUAGUGCUCUGUAAUGACGGCACCUUCGAGGAGCC